RNAcentral lists this ribosomal RNA (468 nucleotides) under uncultured bacterium. Its description in RNAcentral is "partial 16S ribosomal RNA". It matches the Rfam family "Bacterial small subunit ribosomal RNA", at positions 28 to 507 of the family's 1533-position model. The record is from RNAcentral.
GACGAACGCUGGCGGCGUGCUUAACACAUGCAAGUCGAACGGAAAGGCCCUGCUUUUGUGGGGUGCUCGAGUGGCGAACGGGUGAGUAACACGUGAGUAACCUGCCCUUGACUUUGGGAUAACUUCAGGAAACUGGGGCUAAUACCGGAUAGGAGCUCCUGCUGCAUGGUGGGGGUUGGAAAGUUUCGGCGGUUGGGGAUGGACUCGCGGCUUAUCAGCUUGUUGGUGGGGUAGUGGCUUACCAAGGCUUUGACGGGUAGCCGGCCUGAGAGGGUGACCGGCCACAUUGGGACUAAGAUACGGCCCAGACUCCUACGGGAGGCAGCAGUGGGGAGUAUUGCGCAAUGGGCGGAAGCCUGAUGCAGCAACGCCGCGUGCGGGAUGACGGCCUUCGGGUUGUAAACCGCUUUCGCCUGUGACGAAGCGUGAGUGACGGUAAUGGGUAAAGAAGCACCGGCUAACUACGUG